This 460-nucleotide ribosomal RNA is filed under the name uncultured bacterium. Its description in RNAcentral is "partial 16S ribosomal RNA". It matches the Rfam family "Bacterial small subunit ribosomal RNA", at positions 338 to 795 of the family's 1533-position model. The record is from RNAcentral.
CCUACGGGAGGCAGCAGUGAGGAAUAUUGGUCAAUGGACGAGAGUCUGAACCAGCCAAGUAGCGUGAAGGAUGACUGCCCUAUGGGUUGUAAACUUCUUUUAUAUGGGAAUAAAACGUUCCACGUGUGGGAUUUUGUAUGUACCAUAUGAAUAAGGAUCGGCUAACUCCGUGCCAGCAGCCGCGGUAAUACGGAGGAUCCGAGCGUUAUCCGGAUUUAUUGGGUUUAAAGGGAGCGUAGGUGGAUUGUUAAGUCAGUUGUGAAAGUUUGCGGCUCAACCGUAAAAUUGCAGUUGAAACUGGCAGUCUUGAGUACAGUAGAGGUGGGCGGGAUUCGUGGUGUAGCGGUGAAAUGCUUAGAUAUCACGAAGAACUCCGAUUGCGAAGGCAGUUCACUGGACUGCAACUGACACUGAGGCUCGAAAGUGUGGGUAUCAAACAGGAUUAGAUACCCCUGUAGUC